RNAcentral lists this ribosomal RNA (2905 nucleotides) under Escherichia coli. RNAcentral describes it as "23S ribosomal RNA". It matches the Rfam family "Bacterial large subunit ribosomal RNA". Lineage: Bacteria; Pseudomonadati; Pseudomonadota; Gammaproteobacteria; Enterobacterales; Enterobacteriaceae. The record is from RNAcentral. RNAcentral also lists the same sequence under 1 other name.
GGUUAAGCGACUAAGCGUACACGGUGGAUGCCCUGGCAGUCAGAGGCGAUGAAGGACGUGCUAAUCUGCGAUAAGCGUCGGUAAGGUGAUAUGAACCGUUAUAACCGGCGAUUUCCGAAUGGGGAAACCCAGUGUGAUUCGUCACACUAUCAUUAACUGAAUCCAUAGGUUAAUGAGGCGAACCGGGGGAACUGAAACAUCUAAGUACCCCGAGGAAAAGAAAUCAACCGAGAUUCCCCCAGUAGCGGCGAGCGAACGGGGAGCAGCCCAGAGCCUGAAUCAGUGUGUGUGUUAGUGGAAGCGUCUGGAAAGGCGCGCGAUACAGGGUGACAGCCCCGUACACAAAAAUGCACAUGCUGUGAGCUCGAUGAGUAGGGCGGGACACGUGGUAUCCUGUCUGAAUAUGGGGGGACCAUCCUCCAAGGCUAAAUACUCCUGACUGACCGAUAGUGAACCAGUACCGUGAGGGAAAGGCGAAAAGAACCCCGGCGAGGGGAGUGAAAAAGAACCUGAAACCGUGUACGUACAAGCAGUGGGAGCCUCUUUAUGGGGUGACUGCGUACCUUUUGUAUAAUGGGUCAGCGACUUAUAUUCUGUAGCAAGGUUAACCGAAUAGGGGAGCCGAAGGGAAACCGAGUCUUAACUGGGCGUUAAGUUGCAGGGUAUAGACCCGAAACCCGGUGAUCUAGCCAUGGGCAGGUUGAAGGUUGGGUAACACUAACUGGAGGACCGAACCGACUAAUGUUGAAAAAUUAGCGGAUGACUUGUGGCUGGGGGUGAAAGGCCAAUCAAACCGGGAGAUAGCUGGUUCUCCCCGAAAGCUAUUUAGGUAGCGCCUCGUGAAUUCAUCUCCGGGGGUAGAGCACUGUUUCGGCAAGGGGGUCAUCCCGACUUACCAACCCGAUGCAAACUGCGAAUACCGGAGAAUGUUAUCACGGGAGACACACGGCGGGUGCUAACGUCCGUCGUGAAGAGGGAAACAACCCAGACCGCCAGCUAAGGUCCCAAAGUCAUGGUUAAGUGGGAAACGAUGUGGGAAGGCCCAGACAGCCAGGAUGUUGGCUUAGAAGCAGCCAUCAUUUAAAGAAAGCGUAAUAGCUCACUGGUCGAGUCGGCCUGCGCGGAAGAUGUAACGGGGCUAAACCAUGCACCGAAGCUGCGGCAGCGACGCUUAUGCGUUGUUGGGUAGGGGAGCGUUCUGUAAGCCUGCGAAGGUGUACUGUGAGGUAUGCUGGAGGUAUCAGAAGUGCGAAUGCUGACAUAAGUAACGAUAAAGCGGGUGAAAAGCCCGCUCGCCGGAAGACCAAGGGUUCCUGUCCAACGUUAAUCGGGGCAGGGUGAGUCGACCCCUAAGGCGAGGCCGAAAGGCGUAGUCGAUGGGAAACAGGUUAAUAUUCCUGUACUUGGUGUUACUGCGAAGGGGGGACGGAGAAGGCUAUGUUGGCCGGGCGACGGUUGUCCCGGUUUAAGCGUGUAGGCUGGUUUUCCAGGCAAAUCCGGAAAAUCAAGGCUGAGGCGUGAUGACGAGGCACUACGGUGCUGAAGCAACAAAUGCCCUGCUUCCAGGAAAAGCCUCUAAGCAUCAGGUAACAUCAAAUCGUACCCCAAACCGACACAGGUGGUCAGGUAGAGAAUACCAAGGCGCUUGAGAGAACUCGGGUGAAGGAACUAGGCAAAAUGGUGCCGUAACUUCGGGAGAAGGCACGCUGAUAUGUAGGUGAAGUCCCUUGCGGAUGGAGCUGAAAUCAGUCGAAGAUACCAGCUGGCUGCAACUGUUUAUUAAAAACACAGCACUGUGCAAACACGAAAGUGGACGUAUACGGUGUGACGCCUGCCCGGUGCCGGAAGGUUAAUUGAUGGGGUUAGCGGUAACGCGAAGCUCUUGAUCGAAGCCCCGGUAAACGGCGGCCGUAACUAUAACGGUCCUAAGGUAGCGAAAUUCCUUGUCGGGUAAGUUCCGACCUGCACGAAUGGCGUAAUGAUGGCCAGGCUGUCUCCACCCGAGACUCAGUGAAAUUGAACUCGCUGUGAAGAUGCAGUGUACCCGCGGCAAGACGGAAAGACCCCGUGAACCUUUACUAUAGCUUGACACUGAACAUUGAGCCUUGAUGUGUAGGAUAGGUGGGAGGCUUUGAAGUGUGGACGCCAGUCUGCAUGGAGCCGACCUUGAAAUACCACCCUUUAAUGUUUGAUGUUCUAACGUUGGCCCCUAAUCGGGGUUGCGGACAGUGUCUGGUGGGUAGUUUGACUGGGGCGGUCUCCUCCUAAAGAGUAACGGAGGAGCACGAAGGUUGGCUAAUCCUGGUCGGACAUCAGGAGGUUAGUGCAAUGGCAUAAGCCAGCUUGACUGCGAGCGUGACGGCGCGAGCAGGUGCGAAAGCAGGUCAUAGUGAUCCGGUGGUUCUGAAUGGAAGGGCCAUCGCUCAACGGAUAAAAGGUACUCCGGGGAUAACAGGCUGAUACCGCCCAAGAGUUCAUAUCGACGGCGGUGUUUGGCACCUCGAUGUCGGCUCAUCACAUCCUGGGGCUGAAGUAGGUCCCAAGGGUAUGGCUGUUCGCCAUUUAAAGUGGUACGCGAGCUGGGUUUAGAACGUCGUGAGACAGUUCGGUCCCUAUCUGCCGUGGGCGCUGGAGAACUGAGGGGGGCUGCUCCUAGUACGAGAGGACCGGAGUGGACGCAUCACUGGUGUUCGGGUUGUCAUGCCAAUGGCACUGCCCGGUAGCUAAAUGCGGAAGAGAUAAGUGCUGAAAGCAUCUAAGCACGAAACUUGCCCCGAGAUGAGUUCUCCCUGACUCCCUGAGAGUCCUGAAGGAACGUUGAAGACGACGACGUUGAUAGGCCGGGUGUGUAAGCGCAGCGAUGCGUUGAGCUAACCGGUACUAAUGAACCGUGAGGCUUAACCUU